Molecule: long non-coding RNA, 496 nt
Organism: Suricata suricatta (meerkat)
Lineage: Eukaryota; Metazoa; Chordata; Mammalia; Carnivora; Herpestidae
Exons: 2
Source: RefSeq, a predicted model, not a curated record
CAGUGGGGAGCGUGUGGCCGAGGACGUGAUGGGGUCCUAUCCGUUACUAUAUGGAUAUAGGCACUUUGGCUUUUGUGUGCUGUGAUUCUGCAGCUAUAAAGCCCAUACAGAGAAGGGUUCAAAUCCUAAAUUCGAGCUUGACGAAUGUUUACACACUGAGUCCUCCAGAUGCCCCUGAAGUCACCUCCAAGUCAUUGCCCAUUGAGGACAACCAUGGUCUUGGCCUCCAACACGAGGGAUGAGCUCAGUGCGCUCUUGAGGGGCCCGUGCAUGGAAUCGCACGUGGCAACCGUGUUGUGUGUGUGGUGUCUUCAUGCUCCGUAUCUUGGAAAUGCAUCCACGGUGUGCAGUGACGUGAUGGGCUCUUCUCUGCCGUGCGCCCCUCCAUCCCGUGUGCCCCUCCACCCUGUGAGCACCACGGUGUGCUCAUCUGCCCUCCCGCCUAGGGGCUCCUGGGCUUCCCGGGGGUGGCGACAAUGAAUGAGGCUGUUUGGAA